RNAcentral lists this long non-coding RNA (21659 nucleotides) under Prunus persica (peach). Its description in RNAcentral is "long non-coding RNA (PPER_LNC001461)". The record is from RNAcentral. Lineage: Eukaryota; Viridiplantae; Streptophyta; Magnoliopsida; Rosales; Rosaceae.
ACCCAAUUCAAGCCUUUGUUAAUUCCUUGGUAGUUUUUGCAGUUAAUAAAUUAGUAGAAGAUGGGUUAUCACAAUAAUCUUGAUAAGGUCCGUAAUAAGAGGGCCAAGUUUCCCUACACAAAGGAGCAGAUAAGGAACGUCUUCAAACGUCAUGACAAGAAUGGAGAUGGUCAACUUUCCAAAGAUGAGCUGGACGCAGCCUUCAAAGAACUUGGCUCGAUAUGGCCUCCUGGUAGAGCUUGGUUUGCUCAAAGGUAUGCAGAUGACGACGGCGAUGGCUUCAUUUCUAUAGACAAGGAGCUCAGCAAGCUCGUCCAGUAUGCCCUAGAAUUGAAGUAUACACUUAAGUAAUUAUAGUAUUAGUGGGUAACUAGUUCUUGUAUGUGCUUGCUAUAGAUAUAUUCUCAGCAAGCUCGUUGACUAUGCCCUCAAUUGAAGUUCUCUAUAUAAGUAAUCGUAGUGGUGGAGCUAAACUUGGUGUCUUAGUGACCACAACCACUUCAAGUCUAUAUGUAACUCCGUCUGUGUGUAAGCGUCUUUAAUUACUUGUAAGCAGCCGUAGUACCUAUAUAUGUGUGCAAGGUUGAAGGAACGAAAGAGGUGACCUUUUGUUUCCCUUCGUUACCAGGGAAGAUGAAUUUGAACCCUGAUUAUGUAUAAUAUAUAGUGAUUAACAAGAAUAAAGUAACAAACUUUGUGUAUUGAUAUCUAUUACGUAUACAUGUGUACGUAGGUGUGUCUAUAUAUUUAUAUAUGUACAUAUAUAUUGCAUUACAUACGUAUACAUACACAACUUACACUGAUAUUGUAUUACAUUCCCAAAUUCCUUCCCGGUCAAAAAGUCAACUUUUAUACUAAUAAAAUAUUCUAGGGGCAAAAUAGUCUUUUAUCUGAAUAAAUUAACAAUUAAAAAUUUAUUUAGGACUGGGUUGUUACAUAAACUCUUAUAAAUACCUCCUUAUGGAGAAGAAUAAAGUUAACCUAAUACAUUCAAACCAUAUUCAUAUUUUAGCACUAUGAAUGUUACCUUAUCGAGCAUGAGAUGUAUUUUGCUCACCCAGUAUCUCAUUCUCCUCAUCUAGGGGAGAGUAGCGUUGAAGAGUCGAAAUGGAUGGAGUUAUUUCAGGAUAAUAGUGAGGUUAAUUGGCUAGCCAUGUGUGACUUGACAACUAGUAACGAACCAAUCUGCACAGAACUGGCCAGUACCGCACUUGUGACUGAACCUACCAGUACCGUCGCACCCACAGCUUAUAACGUCUAUGCCGCCCCUCUCUCUACUACCUUUCUAGUACCCGGCCCCGAGUCUCCUCAUUCUAACAUUCUUGAGGUAAGUAUAUAAUCUUUGAUUAAUACUAACAAUGAUUGUGAAAUUAGUAAGUGUAGUGUGUAUCAGUUACCACCAAUGACUAAUCAUAGGAAGCCACCAUACGGAUAUUCACCAGAGCCUGCGACAUAGGUAAAGUAUCUUAUUUCUCAUUAUAUGUCUACUCAUAGAUUAUCUGAAGCUUGUCAGGCAUUUGUAAAUCAAAUGUCUAUGAUGACUAUUUCUAGUAAAGUACAAGAUGCAAUAUCUGAUUCAAAAUGGGCCAGUGCUAUGACUGAAGAGAUGCAAACUCUUGAGAAAGAUCAAACCUAGGAAUUGGUGCAACUGCCAGAAGGGAAGAAACCAGUUGGUUGCAGAUGUGUUAUAAAACACAAACCGGAUGGUUCUAUUGACAAGUAUAAAGCCAGACUUGUUGCCUGAGGUUUUUCCCAGACUUAUGAUAUUGAUUAACAUUUGCACCAAUGACUAAGAUCAAUACCAUUUGAGUUCGAUUAUCUUUAGCUGCAAACUUUAACUGGCCAUUGCAGCAAUAUGAUGUAAAAAAAUACCUUUUUACAUGGAGACUUACAAGAGGAAGUCUACAUGUCAUUGCCGCAAGGUUAUAAUGCUCAUACUGAUGCCAGUGUUCUGCGUAAAUUGAAGAAUACACUGUAUGGAUUGAAGCAGUCUCCGCGAACUUGGUUUAGGAGAUUGCGUCGUGCCAUGAAAAAAUAUGGUUAUGAGCAGAGCAACGCUCAUCAUACUUUAUUUCUUCAAAGGAAGAAUGGUAAGUUAACAGUUCUUAUUAUUAAUGCGGAUGAUAUGAUCGUGACUAGUGAUUGUCUUGAUGAAAUUGACAAAUUAAAAGGCUAUUUAGCUUCUGAGUUUGAUAUGAAGGAUCUCGGUGGAUUAAAAUAUUUUUUAGGUAUUGAGGUAACUUGUUCUGAACAUUGAAUUUUCUUGUCACAAAGAAAAUAUGUUCUUGUCACAAAGAAAAUAUGUUCUUGAUUUGCUAAAGGAAUCAGGUAUGCUUGGGUGUGAACCGAUUGGUACUCCUAUAGAACAAAAUCAUGGUUUGGAAGAAUAUCCAGAUCAAGUUCUAAGUGAUAAGGGACGAUAUCAAAGGUUGGUUGGUCGUUUGAUUUAUUUGUCUCAUACUAGACCUGAUAUUGCAUAUGCAGCAAGUGUUGUAAGUAGGUUCAUGCAUAAUCCAAGUCCAUGAUAUAUGGAUGCAGUAGUCUGAAUUUUGAGGUAUUUGAAAUUUGCACCAGGAAAAGGUAUGAUGUUCUUAAAGCAUGGGCAUGUAAAGGUUGUGGGGCAUACAUACUCAGACUGGGCAGGAAAGGAGGAUAAGAGGAGAUCGACAUUUGGUUAUUUCACGUUUGUUUAGGCGGUAACUUGGUUACUUUAUAGUCUAGGUGAUUGACCCCAAGCUUUUUGGAUGUUAGGUAUAUAUAGUUGGCUAUCGCGUUUAAGUACUUUUGGUUUCAGAGCGACACCCUUAUCCAUAUGGCAUCUACAACACAACAUAAAACAUAAGUUCUUUUCUUUUCAUAUCGGAUAUUGCUUUCGAGUUUCAUAUCCACCACGCUGUGUGUUAUCCCUAUGGCAUCUACGAUGGGGAUGCUUGUCCCAAUAGUCAUAGGCCAAAUCUCACCGAAAAGUCGAGCACUUUUUAGAAAGAAAGAAAGAAAGAAAGAAAAAGAAAAAAAAAAAAAAAAAAAAAAGGGUUUCACAAACCGAAAAGUUGAAUUAUUCAUUUCAACAAUUGGCAGAUGAAGUAUUUUUCUUAUCAACUUUACUACCAAAGAAAAGCUCACAAACCGUUUUAGACCAAACAAUUAAGCAUCUAUUAUCACUACUUGCAAGGUUCCAUGCUUUAUGUGCACGCAAAAUCUAGUCCAUAUAUCAUCCAUUGGAAUCAAGUAUUAUUUUUAAGGAGAGUGAUUGGCUCCUUGCCAAACUAUAUAUCAACAAAAUAUUAGCUAAAAUAUUGACAAUGUACCAUAUAUUGUAGAUAUGUUAGUACUCGAUACCAACAAAUUCUUUUCCAGAAUAAAGACCCAUGAGGCAUGUGACUUGAGGAAUAUUAGAAUACUUUUUUAAGGUCCAACAUGUGCGCAGGGGACCAGGCAGAAUCUUGUAUAAAUGGGAUUGAAUUCAUAGUGCAAGUCAUACAAGCCCUAGUUAAUUCCUUAUCCUUGGUAGUUUUGCAGUUAAUAAAUUAGAAGAAGAUGGUUUGGGAAACAAAAAGGUAUAAGGCCCCGAGCAAGGUUCCCUACACAAAGGAGCAGAUAAGGGACGUCUUCAAACGUCAUGAGACGAAUGGAGAUGGUCAACUUUCCAAAGAAGAGCUGGAUGCAGCCUUUGACGAACUUGGCGCGAAAUGGCCUCCUUUUAGAGCUUGGUUUGCUCGACGGUAUGCAGAUGACAACGGCGAUGGCUUCAUUUCUAUAGACAAGGAGCUCAGCAAGCUCGUCGAUUAUGCCCUAGAAUUGAAGUAUAUACUUCAUUAAUUAUAGUAUUUGUGGGUAACUAGUUCUUGUAUGUGCUUGCUAUAGAUAUAUUCUCAGCAAGUUCAUUGACUAUACCCUCAAUUCAAGCUUUCUAUAUAUGUAACUCUGUCCGUGUGUAAGCGUCUUUAAUUACUUAUAAGCCACCGUAGUUCCUAUAUAUGUGUGCAAGUUGAGGGAACAAAAGAGGUGAUCUUUUGUUUCCCCUUGUUACCAGGGAGGAUGAAUUUGAACCCUGAUUAUGUAUAAUAUAUAUAGUGAUUAACAAGAAUAAAGUAACAAACUUUGUGUAUUGAUAUCUAUUACAUAUAUAUAUAUGCGUACGUAGGUGUGUCUAUAUAUUUAUGUAUAUACAUAUAUAUUUUAUUACAUACGUAUACGUACACAACUUACACUGAUAAAAGCUCCGUGUUAUAGAGAUUACUGCAAUCCACUCAACACCACAUGUGGAAGCAUGGACAUUAGCAGAGUAACUUAAUAUGAUUCCAUACCAAUAUCUUGUUCAAGUGGCGUAGAGAUUUAAAUUUAAAAUCUUCAUAUAAGUAUAUCAAAAAAGAAAAAGAAGAAAAGAAAGAACUCUCACACAACUUUUCAUUGUUAUACACUCUUUUCCUAAGGGUGUACAUCCGUUCAAAACUAAUACAAUUUUACCAAUCUGCAUCUGAUUCAAUAUAUAGAUUGGAUUAUGAUUUUCUAAUCCAAUCCGAUCUCAUUAGAAGUAUAAAUCCAAUCCGAUCCAAUUAAAAUUGAAUUAGACUGGAUUGAAUGAUCAAUUUUUAUAAUGAAAAAUAGUAAUAACAAAAUAUAAAACAUUUAUCUUCAAGUUGAAUAUAAUCAAACAUUUCAGAACUUGGAGAGCACGAUGCCAUGCAGAUACCAACAGCAAAGACAGGUCCAUCCUCAACGUCAACGACCUUGUCAAAUAUGCCCUAAAACGUGGCUAUAAACUCUGAUUAACUCAGAAGCAGAUGAGGGGUUUUAGUCAACUAAUUAAUAUAAUAUAUAUGUGUAUAUGUGUGUAUGUAUGAGAGUUUUUAAUUACUUAUCUGCGAGUUCCAGCCAUAUAUACAUAUAUGUGUGUAUGCUAGAGAAGGAAGGAGGUGAGCUUUUGUUUCCCCCUCUUUGGCAAGGUUUGAUGAAUCAGAAUUAUGAUUUAUGUGGAAACUUUUGUAUUUCGCAAUGUGAUUUAAUAAUCAAAAAAAUUUAUAUUUAGAUAUCCUUUAUUAAGUAUCACCAAUUUAAUAUAAUUUUAUAAUUCACACCAACUAGCUUUUAAUAUAAUGAUAAUUGUCUCCACUUAAUUGAAUAAAGUUGCUACUCCGCUCCCUUCGCGGCCUCGGCAUCCCUGACAGCUUGGAUAGCAGCACCACCAAAUCUUGAUUUGAUUCAUAUGAAUACAACAUAACCUGCUUUGUAAACCUCGUAUGUAUAGUUUGAAGAGGAAAAGAAUUAUCAUCCAUACCAAAUCCAGAAAAACCAAAUUAUGUAUAUUAAAUGAGUUAGUAGUUACAAGGUCAAUAAUUUAUGGAGUAUAGGUGAUUGACCCCAACCUUUUUGGAUGUUGGGCAUAUAUAGCUAGCUGUCGCGUUGAAGUAGUUUUGGUUUCAGAGCGACACUCUUAUCCAUACAAUAUGUCGGUGUGCCGAUGAAAGAAUCUAUUGAUUUGUCCUCGCAAUGCAAGUGAAGGAUAAACGGCAAACUGUGUGAAUGUUUUUACUGUGAUCAGUAUGGUUGUAGAAACCAAAGCGAAGGCCUAGCUAGUUGACCCAAGUCAAGCAAAAGAAUCUAUUAGAAUUCUUCAUGUAGGACGUACGCAGGCUUAGUUUUUGUGCUUGCUGCUGAUUAGUCUGUGAUCAUGUAAUAUAAUGUCUCUGUGUAUGUACAUAUAUGCGUAUGUUAAUGAAUUAAUGACCAGUGAGCAGCCAUAGCUCUGUUUCAUAAAAUGGAUAAGCACAAAAUUUAGAAAAUAUGUGAAGGGCAUUAGUUAAUGGUUAUGUUGUUUUAUUGUUAAUGUCUAAUCUAUAUUUCAGUAAUACCAUGUGACACCAAAUGAGUUCUGUUACAAUCACCUUUUUCAUUUUCUUUUAUGAAAAAAAAGAAAAAGAAAAAAAAAACUUGAAACCAAAUGAGUUUGAUUCACAUGAAUUGCAUAAUGGGUAUAAGAUUGUCGCAAGUAAUUUGUUGAAGUGUUUCUCAUACAAUGACUCCAAAAUCAGAAGCCAAAAAGGGGAAGAAAAAUUAUGAAGCCAGAACCUGGCUUACCUGACGAAUCAGCAUCCAACGAGAGAAAAGUUGAAGCCGAUCGAGUUUAUGAUUUUCUUGGAGGACUUGAUUCACCGUAUGAUGGUGUCUAUAGCCGUAUUCUUACUCUUAGUCCUAUCCCGCCCCCUCUCGAAGCCUAUACCAUGGUCAUGGAGGAAGACACUCGUUAGUCUGCUAUGCUUAGAGGAGGUUCGAUGGCCCUCAAAGUCGACCCAGCCCGUCAAUGACCGGUCACUACCCAUCCAGAAAAUUUUCUUCUUCUGCUAGGCCUCGUUCUUCUGGAUCUAUCCCUAGCUCUCUUGAAGGUCCUCCUAAGUGUCGUCAUUGUAAUGGGAAUCACUAUUCUGAGAAGUGUUUUAAGGAGCAUGGUUAUCUUGAUUGGUUUGCUAACUACACGGCUCGUAUGUAUGGUCCUAAAGCCGCCUAUACUAUGACUCAAGAUGAGGCUCGUCCUCUGGCCCUUUCUACAAAUCUGUGUGCUUCUGAUACCAUGCCAUGUAUGGGUUCUAAUACUUGGAUAAUUGACACUGAUGCUUCUGAUCAUAUGACUUUUGAUAAUAAUAUGUUUGAUGAGUUGUCCCAUAACCCUCGUGACCCUUAUAUUACUAGUGCUAAUGGUUUACCUUCCCCAGUUAUUGGUGAAGGUACCAUCCAACUCGCUCAUUCUUUACCUCUAUCCCAUGCACUCUUGGUUCCAAAUAUUCGUUGCAAUUUGUUAUCUGUUGGGCGUUUACUUGAUACACUUAACGCGUCUGCUACUUUCUAUUCUACCUAUUGUUUUUCCAAGAUCUCAAAACUCACGAGAAGAUUAGGCAUAGUAAAUAGAUGGGGGGUUGUAUUACUUAUAGUUAUCAGUUGCAGCAGUUCGUGGUUGUGUCGCUAAUAAAGUUUAGAAUGGCAGUGUCAAAGACAAGCAACAACUUUGGUUGUGGCAUCGUCAUUUAGGACAUCCGUCCUUUGUUUAUCUUAAACAUUUGUUUUCUUCAUUAUUUAGUUUGUGUGAUGAGUCUAGCUUCAAAUAUGAAACUUGUGUAAUGGCCAAGAGCUACCGUAUUGUUUUUCCCUUGAGUAAUAAUAAAGCUGCAUUGCCUUUUGAGUUAGUACAUUCGGAUGUAUGGGGUCCUUCCCGUGUGACUUCUAAUGGUUUCCGUUGGUUUGUCACGUUUAUUGAUGACUGCACUCGCUUAACAUGGGUAUAUUUGAUGAAGCAUAAACAUGAUGUUGCCUCUAUUCUUCCUAUUUUUUGUGCUAUGGUGUCUACUCAGUUUCAUGCCAGUAUUAAAGUAUUUCGGACUGAUAAUGGAGGUGAAUAUGUGAAUCAUACCUUGACCCAUUUCGUCCGUGAUCAAGGUAUCAUCCACCAAACUACCACUCUAUUCACUCCUCAACAGAAUGGUAUGUCUGAACGUAAGAAUCGUCAGUUACUUGAAGUUGCUCGCUCCCUUAUGUUGGAUAUGUCUUUUCCCCAUCAUCUUUGUGGACACGGUGUCUUGGCCACUGCUCAUUUGAUUAACCGUACUCCUAGUCGGGUUCUUGAUUUCAAGACUCUGCUUGAUGUGUUAUGUACCCAUACUUCUCCAGUCUCGGUCUCUAAGUUACCUCCAAAGGUGUUGGGUGUGUUGCUUUUGUUCAUGUCUACUCUCAUUAACGGAGUAAACUGGACCUGUGUGCGCUUCGCUGUGUCUUCAUUGGCUAUUCUACCACUCAAAAGGGUUACAAGUGCUAUCACCCUCAUUCACAGAAAGUACAUGUUACUUUGGAUGUCAUCUUUCACGAAAAAGUAUCGUAUUAUGUCUCUUCCUCCUCUCUAAUUCAGGGGGAGAAGGGGAGUGAAUUGAAGAGUUUCGGAAUGGAAAAUCAUGGACGUAAAGAGGCAUGUGAAGGAAUUUCUGACCAAGUGCCAACGACCGGUCGUGUAAAGGAAGCAACCGGUCACCAAGUAAUCUGCCUGGAAUCGACCGGUCGAGCAGACGAUGACGACUAGUCGCAUGCCUAGAUGACUGAUGACUGCCAGGAAACGACGAUCGAUCGCUCAAAAGAUGACGAUCGGUCGCCUAUUGAAUUCUUUGAUGAAAUUUGCUCUUCGCCAAAAGAACGUGACAGUGAUACUGGUGACUCUUGUGAAGAUAAGAUCGAUAUAAGACCCCCAUCUGCUCUGCCACUGCCCCAAUCAACUCUUGAUAAUGAUGAAGUACUUUCUAAUGAUGUGUCUACUUAUUCAUUACCCCCACCCACUACUCGUGGUAAACCUAAAGUACAAUAUUCUAUUGAUAUACAUUCCAAAUCUAAAUAUCUCAUUAACCAUUAUGUGCCAACUCAUCGUCUAUCUAAGUCAUAUGCAUCAUAUUUGUGUCAAUUAUCUAGUGUUUGUAUGUCAACUAAGUUGCAUGAUGCUUUAUCUAAUCUAAAAUGGGUAGAUGCAAUGCAUGUUGAGAUGGAAGCCUUGAACAAGAAUGCCACUUGGGAGCUAGUUCCUUUACCAAAAGGAAAAAAGGCAGUUGGGUGCAGAUGAGUGUUUACUUUGAAGACAAUGCUGAUGGUUCCAUUGACCGUUACAAGGCAAGGUUGGUAGCAAAAAGUUAUACUCAGACUUAUGGAGUGGAUUACACAGCGACCUUUGCUCCAGUAGCAAAGCUCAAUACUGUGCGCGUACUCUUGACCUUGGUUGCUAAUCAUGAUUGGCCUAUGUUACAAUUCGAUGUCAAAAAUGCAUUCCUCCAUGGUGACCUCAAGAAAGAAAUAUACAUGGAUCCUCCGCCGAGUAUUCCUGUGACCUCUAAGGAGGGUAUGGUGUGCAAACUAUGGAAAUCCUUAUAUGGAUUAAAGCAGUCUCCAAGAGCUUGGUUUAGGAAGUUUGCUGCAUCUAUUAGGAAGUUUGGGUAUGUAUAAAGUAAUUCGAAUCAUACGUUGUUUCUGAAGGGUCGCAAAGGUAAAUUGACAGCUUUAAUAAUUUAUGUUGAUAAUAUAAUUGUAACUGGAGAUGAUCAUGCAGAAAUACACAGUCUCCAGAAAUAUCUGGCGUCUGAGUUUGAGAUGAAAUCAUUAGGUGACUUGAAGUAAUUUCUCGGGAUUGAAGUUGCUAAAUCUAAGCGUGGUAUUUUCCUGUUUCAAAGGAAGUAUAUUUUGGAUUUGCUUGCAGAAACUGGAAUGAUGGAUUGUAAACCAAUUGAUAAUCCUAGUGAACAAAAUCACAAGUUGGGGUUCUAUCCUGAUCAAGUUCCUACUGAUAAGGAGUGCUAUCAACAGCUCGUGGGGAAAUUAAUUUAUUUAGCUCAUACAUGUCCUGACAUUGCGUAUGCAGUGAGUGUAGUGAGUCAGUUUAUGCACUUGCCUAGUGAAGACCAUAUGGGAGCUGUGACGCGUAUUUUGAGAUAUCUCAAAGUAACUCCUGGCAAUGGGUUAAUGUUUUCAAAGUAUGGUCAUAUAGAUGUGGAAGGAUACACAGAUGCUAAUUAGGCAAGUUUAGCUAUUGAUAGGCGUUCUACGUCUGGGUAUUUUACGUUUGUUGGUGGUAAUCUUGUUACUUGGAGAAGCAAGAAACAAAAUGUGGUGUCUUGUUCUAGUGAUGAGGCUGAGUAUCGUUGGAUGGCCCAUGACGUAUGUGAGUUACUGUGGUUGAGGAGAUUAUUGAGAGAUCUUGGCUUUGGACCUAAGAAACCUAUGGAUUUAUAUUGUAACAAUAAGGCUGCGAUUGCAAUUGCUCAUAAUCAUGUACAACAUGAUCGUACAAAGCAUGUGGAGGUUGAUCGAAAUUUCAUUAAAGAGAAGUUCGAUGCGGAGAUUGUUUCCUUCCCAUUCAUCAGUUCUGAGUAUCAGUUAGCUGAUGUCCUUACGAAAGCUGUUUCUACAAGUAUCUUCCUCAACUCGCUUGACAAGUUAGGCAUGUGUGACGUCUUUGCUCCAACUUGAGAGGGAGUGUUGGCGAGAUAUCCUAACCCUAUUAGGAUAUUUCCUUCUUAUUCUAAUAGGAUUUUAUUUAUUUCUUUUUGUAUAGAUAUUACGUAAUUAGGACUUUUCUUAUUUCCUAGUAUAACCCUAUUAGAGUUUGUAACCUUGUAUUAUAAAUACCUCCUUUCGAAAAAUGAAAUACAUAUAAAAAAUAUUAUACCUAUAUUGUUUGACUAAGAUGAUGCAAGGGUUGAGUCUGAUAAUACGCAGGGUAGAAGAUGAAGAGGCGAGAGAACAUGUUUGUGUCAAACAUGUAUUUUAAUAAUUUUUUUUAAUAAAAAAAAAUGAAUUGAAGAGUUAACAGAGUUAAAAUGUUGUUAAAUAGUGUGCCACAUGUUACAAAAUCAAGGAGGAAAUGGGGACACAGAGAAUUUGGUAACAGAAAAAUUCAACUUGUAAGAGUAGCACUAGUUUAUAGUCCAUAGGUGAUUGACCCCAACCUUUUUGGAUGUUAGGCAUAUAUAGAUAGCUAUCGCGUUUAAGUACUAUUGGUUUCAGAGCGACACCCUUAUCCAUAUGGCAUCUACAACACAACAUAAAACAUAUGUUCUUUUCUUUUCAUAUCGGAUAUGGCUUUCGAGUUUCAUAUCCACCACGCUGUGUGUUAUCCAUAUGGCAUCUACAAUUGGGAUGCUUGUCCCAACAGUCAUACGCCAAAUCUCACAUAAUGAAUCUCGAUCCAACUUAAAGAGUAUAAGAUGGAGAUCUCAAGUACUCUUGAGUCUGAUAAUUAUAUUUCCAACGUUAAUUUAGGGGUUUUAGUACUUAUGAUUAAUAAUUUAUAGUUAAAAUGUUUUUAUAUGUUAUAUUAAAAUACUAUGUGCAAAGGAUUCACUAGUGUAGUGGUUUAAAGCAAUUUCUCUUUCAGACAACGUUAUAGGUUCGAAUUCUAAUAUCUGCUAGAAAGAAAGAAAGAAAAAGGUUUCACUCACAAACCGAAAAGUUGAAUUAUUCCUUUCAACAAUUGGCAGAUGAAGCAUUUUACUGUUAUCAACUUUACUACCAAAGAAAAGCUCACAAACCGCUUUUGACCAAACAAUUAAGCAUCUAUUAUCACUACUUGCAAAGUUCCAUGCUUUAUGUGCACGCAAAAUCUAGUCCAUAUAUAUGACUCGAUUUUUUUUAAAUAAUCAACUGUAGUUUACCAAUUUCAUCUGCGGAAAUUACAAGAGGCAACACUUAGAACAAGAGAAACCUAACUCAAAAACAAGAAGAACAAGAAUUUGUUUGAUAUUUCAUCCAUUGGAAUCAAGUAUUAUUUUUAAGGAGAGUGAUCGGAUCGAUGCCAAACUAUAGUAAGUAUAUAUCAACAAAAUACCAAACUGGAGUAUCAAGAAAAUAUUGAAUAAAAUAUCAAUAAUGUAUCAUAUACUGUAAAUAAAUUGGUACCCGAUACCAACAAAUUCUUUCCCAAAAUAGAGACCCUUGAGGCAUGUGACUUGAAGAAUAUUAGAAUACUUUUGGAGGUCCAACAUGUGCGCAGGGGAUCAGGCAGAGCCCUAUAUAAAUGGGCUCCCUCAUAGUGUACAAGUCACCCAAUUCAAGCCUUUGUUAAUUCCUUGGUAGUUUUUGCAGUUAAUAAAUUAGUAGAAGAUGGGUUAUCACAAUAAUCUUGAUAAGGUCCGUAAUAAGAGGGCCAAGUUUCCCUACACAAAGGAGCAGAUAAGGAACGUCUUCAAACGUCAUGACAAGAAUGGAGAUGGUCAACUUUCCAAAGAUGAGCUGGACGCAGCCUUCAAAGAACUUGGCUCGAUAUGGCCUCCUGGUAGAGCUUGGUUUGCUCAAAGGUAUGCAGAUGACGACGGCGAUGGCUUCAUUUCUAUAGACAAGGAGCUCAGCAAGCUCGUCCAGUAUGCCCUAGAAUUGAAGUAUACACUUAAGUAAUUAUAGUAUUAGUGGGUAACUAGUUCUUGUAUGUGCUUGCUAUAGAUAUAUUCUCAGCAAGCUCGUUGACUAUGCCCUCAAUUGAAGUUCUCUAUAUAAGUAAUCGUAGUGGUGGAGCUAAACUUGGUGUCUUAGUGACCACAACCACUUCAAGUCUAUAUGUAACUCCGUCUGUGUGUAAGCGUCUUUAAUUACUUGUAAGCAGCCGUAGUACCUAUAUAUGUGUGCAAGGUUGAAGGAACGAAAGAGGUGACCUUUUGUUUCCCUUCGUUACCAGGGAAGAUGAAUUUGAACCCUGAUUAUGUAUAAUAUAUAGUGAUUAACAAGAAUAAAGUAACAAACUUUGUGUAUUGGUAUCUAUUACGUAUAUAUGUGUACGUAGUUGUGAACUUGUGUCUAUAUAUUUAUGUAUGUACAUAUAUAUUGUAUUACAUACGUACACAUGCACAACUUACACUAAUAAAAGCGCCAUGUUAUAGAGAUUACUACAAUCCACUUAACACCACAUGUGGAAACAUGGACAUGACCAGAGCAACUUAAUAUGAUUCCAUAUCAAUAUCUUGCCUUUUGUUUUGGUACAUUCUGAUGUUUGGGGCCUACUCCAAUUACUAGUACUUCUGGCUUCCGUUGAUUUGUUAUUUUGUGGAUGAUUGCACUCGCAUAUCAUGGUUGUACCUGAUGCAAAAUAAGAGUGAUGUUUUUGCUUGCUUUCGAACUUUUCACCAGAUGAUUAAAAAUCAAUUUUCUGCUACUUUAAAGGUGCUUCUUUCAGAUAAUGGUGGUGAACAAUUUUGAUGAUUCUUCCCUUCAUCCACACCAUUCUUACACAGUUAUUUUCAGAAACAUGGAAUUCUACAUGAGACUACUUGUCCUUACACACCUCAGCAGAAUGGUGUGGAUGAAGGGAAGAAUCAUCAAAAUUGUGAAAUUACUCAUGCUAGUCUUAUAGGUGCCCAUAUGACCCCAUAAUUCUAGGAGGAGGUGAUCACCUAUACAGUCUAUCUUCUUAAUAUUGUGUUCCUGCUAGUGUCCUGUAGUUUAAGACACCAUUGGACAAAUUUGAGGCUUAUGUUUCCUUCCUAUCUCAUAUCACUCUUCUGUCACAUCUCGGGAUCGGCUCCGUCAUAGCACGAUAUUGUCCGCUUUGGGCCCCCUUUCUGCCCUCACAGUUUUGUUUCUAUGAAUCACGAGCAACUUCCCAGUGAGUCACCCAUCCUGGGAUUGAUUUAGCCCCAACUCGCUUAACUUCAGAGUUCCCAUGACUCUGAAGCCAGUGAGCUCUCAAAAGGCCUCGUGCUAGAUGGAGGAGGGCAUGUACAUAUAAGGCACAUCACCCCCUCUCCGUUGGUCGAUGUGGGAUGUUACACUUCUACCUUGUGUUUUUAGAUGCGUUGCUUUUGUGCACUUGCACAAACAUCAACAUACGAAAUUCGAUCAGUGUGCUGUGAAGUGUGUGUUUAUUGGUUAUCACCCCCAUCAGAAGGGUUAUCGGUACUUUCAUCUACCGAGUCAACAUUUUUAUGUUACUAUGAAUGUUACGCUUUCCAAGCAUGAGAUGUAUUUUGCUAAACCAGUAUCUCAUUCUCCUCUUAUGGGGGAGAGUAGCGUUGAAGAGUCAAAAUGGAUGAGUUAUUUCAGGAUAAUAAUGAGGUUAAUUGGUAGCCAUGCGUGACUUGACAGCUAGUAACGAACCAACCUGCACAGUACCAACCAGUACCGCACCUGCGACUGAACCUACCUGCACAUUCGCACCCACAGCCGAUAACGUCUGUGCUGCCCCUCUCUCUACUACUUUUCCAGUACCGGCCCUAAGUCUCCUCAUGCUGACAUUCUUGAGGUAAGAAUAGAAUCUUUAAUUAACACUAACAAGGAUUGUGAAAUUAUUGAGCGUAGUGAGUAUCAGUUACCAACAAUGAGUAAUUGUGGGAAGCCACCAUAUGGAUAUUCACCAGAGCCUGCGACAAAGGUAAAGUAUUUUAUUUCUCAUUAUAUGUCUACUCACAGAUUAUCUGAAGCUUGUCAGGCAUUUGUAAAUCAAAUGUCUACUGUGGCUAUUUAUAGUAAAGUACAAGAUGCAUUGUCUGAUUCAAAAUGGGCUAUUGCUAUGAUUGAAGAGAUCCAAACUCUUGAGAAAAAUCAAACCUAGGAAUUGGUGCAACAGCCAUAAGGGAAGAAACCAGUUGGUUGCAGAUGUAUUAUACCAUAAAACACAAACCGGAUGGUUCUAUUGACAAGUAUAAAGCCAGACUUGUUGCCCAGAGUUUUACCCAAACUUAUGGUAUUGAUUAUCAAGAGACAUUUGCACAUGUGGCUAAGAUCAAUACCAUUCGAGUUCUACUAUCUUUAGCUACAAACUUUAACUGACCAUUGCAGCAAUAUGAUGUAAAAAAUGUCUUUUUACAUGGAGACUUACAGGAGGAAGUCUACAUGUCAUUGUCACCAGGUUAUAAUGCUCCUACUGAUGCCAGUGUUCUGUGUAAAUUAAAGAAUGCACUGUAUGGAUUGAAGCAGUCUUUGCAAGCUUGGUUUAGGAGAUUGCGCCGUGCCAUGAAAAAUAUGGUCAUGAGCAGAGCAAUGCUCGUCAUACUUUAUUUCUUAAAAGGAAGAAUGGUAAGUUAACAGCUCUUAUUAUUUAUGCGGAUGAUAUGAUCGUGACUGGUGAUGAUCUUGAUGAAAUUGGCAAAUUAAAAGGCUAUUUCGCUUCUGAAUUUGAUAUGAAGGAUCUCGGUGGAUUAAAAUAUUUUCUGGAUAUUGAGGUAACUCAUUCUGAAUAUGGAAUUUUCUUGUCACAAAGAAAAUAUGUUCUUGAUUUGCUAAAGGAAACAGGUAUGCUUGGGUGUGAACCGAUUGGUACUCCUAUAGAACAAAAUCAUGGUUUGGAAGAAUAUCCAAAUCAAGUUCCAACUGAUAAAGGACGAUAUCAAAGGUUGGUUGGUCGGUUGAUUUAUUUGUCUCACACUUGACCUAAUAUUGCAUAUGCAGUAAGUGUUGUAAGUAGGUUCAUGCAUAAUCCAAGUUUACGAUAUAUGGAUGCAGUAGUCCAAAUUUUGAGGUAUUUGAAGUCUGCACUAGGAAAAGGUCUGAUGUUCUUAAAGCAUGGCAUGUAAAGGUUGUGGGGUAUACGGACUUAGACUCGGCAGGGAAUGGGGAUAAGAGGAGAUAGACAUUUGGUUAUUUCACGUUUGUUUAGGCGGUCACUUGGUUACUUGGAAGAGUAAAAAGCUGAAGGUUGUCUAUUUGUUGAGUCCAGAUGUCGAGUAUCGGGCUAUGGUGAAAGGUGUUUGUGAAGUGCUAUGGUUAAAAAGGCUUAUGGGGGAGCUAGGUUUUCCUACUGAGAAUACUAUGAAGUUGUAUUGUGAUAAUCAGUCAGCAAUUAAGAUUGCUGAAAAUCCAGUUCAACAUGAUAGAAUGAAACAUGUAGAGAUUGAUCGAAACUUUAUUUAUGAGGAAUUGGAAGAGAAGAUUAUUGAAGUUCCAUAUGUUAAGACUACUGAACAAUUGGCAAAUAUGUUGACCAAGGUUGUAUCAAAUCAAGCCUUUACAGAUUCACUUACCAAGCUAGGUAUCUGCGACAUCUAUGCACCAUCUUGGGGGGAGUGUUGGCUUGAAUCACAAUAGGAAUUAUAGACAAUUACCUUUAUUAUAUUGAUUUGUAAUUAUAGGAAUACCGGUUUGACCUGGAUUGUAUUUAUUCCUUUUUCCUUAUUGUAAUUAGUUACUAGAUAGACUUGUAUUUGUAUCACUAUAAAUACCUCAUUGUGAGAAGAAUAGAAACAUACUGAAUCAUUCGUAACCCUAAAUUCUAUUUGAAUGGUGUUAGCAGCAGCCAAAAAGGGGAAAAAUUUAUGAAGCGAUUUUCCUUCCAAUGGUGAUUGUGAAUUGAGUCGAGUGAGAGAGAAAGACUUAAGAGGCUGAAAGAAUUGACAAAAGCUCGUGAAUCAUCUGCUCGGCAUUGGCACUGGCUGGUUUUCAUGUAAAUUUGCAGUAUGCAAGUUCUGUUCAAAUCACAUUUUUCAUUGUCUUUUAUGGAAAAAAAAACUGAAACCAAAUGAGUUUGAUUCACAUGAAUUGCAUAAUCGGUAUAUGAUUGUCGCAAGUUAUUUGUUGAAGUGUUUCUCAUACGAUGGCUCCAAAAAAGUGGAGAAAAAUUAUGAAGCAAAACCUAGCUUACCCAACGAACCAGCUUCGAAUGAGCGAAAAAAUUUAUCGAACCAGAUACAGGGGCUAAGUUUUGCAUGGCAGAGAUGAUGCAAGGGUUGAGUCUGAUGAUACGUAGGGUAGAAGAUGAGGAGACGAGAGAACAUGUUUGUGUCAAACGCGUAUUUUAAUAAUUUUUUUUAAAAUAAAAAGAAAUGGGUUGAAGAGUUAAUAGAAUUAAAAUGUUGUUAAAUGGUGUGCCGUGUGUCACAAAACCAAUGAAGAAAUAAAGAGGCACAAGAGAUUUGGUAAGAGGAAAAUUGGACUCGUAAGAGUAACACUAAUUUAUAGAGUGGGUGAUUGACCCCAAGCUUUUUGGAUGUCAGGCAUAUAUAGCUAGCUAUCGCGAAGUACUUUUGGUUUCAGAGCUACCGUCUUAUCCAUAUGGCAUCUACAAACAUACAGCAUAUGUCGGUGUGCCGAUCAAAGAAUAUAUAAAGCAUUUUACUGUGAUCCAUUAUACGCUUUCGUCACGUGUAGUGAUCCAUUAUAUUGUUGGAUAUUGCUAUUGGUUUCGGUUUUUUGAAUGAACCAUAAUCUUAAUCUUACACUGCAAGUCCAAACCUUAUCUCUUGUAGUGUUUCAGGCACCCCUUUCUUGUAGUGUUCUUGUGGUGGUUCUGUUCAAAAUGUUGUCCACCCAAAACCUUUGCAUACUUUACAGAAAAAUUACCCCACAUAUCGGAUAUUGCUUUCCAGUUUCAAAUCCACCACGCUGUGUGUUAUUCAUAGGGCAUCUACAAUGGGGUAUGCUUGUCCCAAUAGUCAUAAGCCAAAUCUCACAUAAUGAAUCUCGAUCCAACUUAAAGAGUAUAAGAUGGAGAUCUCAAGUACUCUGAGUCUAAGAAUUAUAUUUCCAACAUGAAUUUAGGGGUUUUAAUACUUAUGAUUAUUUUAUAGUUAAAAUGAUUUUAUAUGUUAUAUUAAAACACUACGUGCAAAGGAUCCACUAAUGUAGUGGUUUAGAGCAAUUGUUCUCUCAGACAACGUCAUGAGUUCGAGUCCUAGCAUCUGUGUAGUUGAAUUAUCCCUUACAAACCGAAAAGUUGGGCACCUUUCAGAAAGAAAGAAGAAAAAAAGGUUUCACAAACCGAAAAGCUGAAUUAUUCCUUUCAACAAUUGGCAGAUGAAGCAUUUUACUGUUAUCAACUUUACUACCAAAGAAAAGCUCACAAACCGUUUUAGACCAAACAAUUAAGCAUCUAUUAUCACUACUUGCAAAGUUCCAUGCUUUAUGUGCACGCAAAAUCUAGUCCAUAUAUGCUACUCGAUUUUUUUUAAUAAUCAACUGUAGUUUACCAAGAAUUUGUUUGAUAUUUCAUCCAUUGGAAUCAAGUAUUAUUUUUUAGGAGAGUGAUCCGCUCGUUGCCAAAGUAUAUAUCAACAAAAUAUUAGGUAAAAUAUUGACAAUGUACCAUAUACUGUAGAUAUGUUAGUACUCGAUACCAACAAAUUCUUUUCCAGAAUAAAGACCCAUGAGGCAUGUGACUUGAAGAAUAUUAGAAUACUUUUUUAAGGUCCAACAUGCGCGCAGGGAACCAGGCAGAGCCCUAUAUAAAUGGGAUUGAAUUCAUAGUGCAAGUCAUUCAAGCCCUGGUUAAUUCCUUAUCCUUGGUAGUUUUGCAGUUAAUAAAUUAGAAGAAGAUGGUUUGGGAAACAAAUAGGUAUAAGGCCCCGAGCAAGGUUCCCUACGCAAAGGAGCAGAUAAGGGACGUCUUCAAACGUCAUGACAAGAAUGGAGAUGGUCAACUUUCCAAAGAAGAGCUGGACGCAGCCUUUGACGAACUUGGCGCGAAAUGGCCUCCUUUUAGAGCUUGGUUUGCUCGACAGUAUGCAGAUGACAACGGCGAUGGCUUCAUUUCUAUAGACAAGGAGCUCAGCAAGCUCGUCCAGUAUGCCCUAGAAUUGAAGUAUAUACUUCAUUAAUUAUAGUAUUAAUUAGUGGGUAACUAGUUCUUGUAUGUACUUGCUAUAGAUAUAUUCUCAGCAAGCUCAUUGACUAUACCCUCAAUUAAAGCUCUCUCUAUAUAUGUAAUCGUAGUGAUGGAGCUAGACUUGGUAUCUUAGUGGCCACAACCACUUCAAGUUUGUAUGUAACUCCGUCCGUGUGUAAGCGUCUUUAAUUACUUGUAAGCAGCCGUAGUACCUAUAUAUGUGUGCAAGGUUGAAGGAACGAAAGAGGUGACCUUUUUUUUCCCUUCGUUACCAGGGAAGAUGAAGAACCCUGAUUAUGUAUAAUAUAUAGUGAUUAACAAGAAUAAAGUAACAAACUUUGUGUAUUGAUAUCUAUUACAUAUAUAUGUGUAUGUAGGUGUGUCUAUAUAUUUAUAUAUGUACACAUAUAUUGUAUUACAUACGUAUACAUACACAACUUACACUGAUAAAAGCUCCAUGUUAUAGAGAUUACUACAAUAUUCCACUCAACACCACAUUUGGAAGCGUGGACAUGAGCAGAGCAACUUAAUAUGAUUCCAUAUCAAUAUCUUGUUCAAGUGGCAUGCAGAUUUAAAUUUAAAAUCUUCAUAUAAGUAUAUCAAAAAAGAAAAAGAAAAAAAGAAAGAACUUUCACCCAACUUUUCAUUGUUACACUCUUUUCUAUAUAAUUAUUUUCUAGGAGUGUACAUCGGUUCGAAACUAAUACAAUUGUAUAAAUCCGCAUUCGAUCUAAUAUAGAUUGGAUUAUAAUUUUCUAAUCCAAUCCGAUCACAUUAGAGAGAUAUAAAUCCAAUCCGAUUUGAUCCAAUUUAUAUUGGAUUAGACUAGAUUGGAUGAUCGGUUUUCAUAAUGGAAAAAGAUAAUAACGAAAUAUGAAACAUUUAUCUUCAAGUUUAAUAUAAUAAAACACUUUAAUAGAAUGUAAAUUUAAAAUAUCAAUGAAAUGCUAGAGAAAAUUAUUCUGAUUUUAUAAUAUAUCAAACAUAACUUCAUCAAAUUACUUAAAAUAUUUAUAACUUUCUAAAUGAAAAUUGCCUAAUAAGCAAAAUGAGGAAAUCCGUCAUCUGAUCUGAUCAUAUGUUGGUGUUGGAAAUUAGGAAUCCAAUCCACUCCGCCAAAUCAUUGAAACAUAUUAAAGUUGAAUUGGAUUGGUCGGUUUAGGGGAAUUAAAUUGGAUCUUGCACACCCCUACUGUUUCCUUUGGUGAGCAUUUACAUUAUACGUCACAAUCUCUUAAAACAUAGCACAACAAAAUGAAUAUAAUGUUUUCAAUAAAACAACGAAAUAUUCGUGAGGAUAAUCAAAUGGUCAAAUGAUUUCAAAUUUGUUGAUUUUCUUAAAUGGAGAUUGAAAAAUUAGACAGUUCAUAUCCUUAAACCACAUGUGGAAGUGCCCAAAAAAGUAAUUAUUUCAUGCAUAUUAUCUACAAAGAGUUCAAUUUGUAAAUAAAUUUUAAUUUUUUUUAUACAAGCGAUGUCUAAAUUAUUCUAAAUUAAUUAAAUUUAUGAGAAGGGAGGUUCGAACUUAGGUGCAAGGAGGCGCGCUCACUUUACUGACCAAUUUGCAUAAUCCACAUCUACAAAUCAUUCUUAUUAAUAAAUUAAAGAAUUAUGAUAUAUGUACACACAUAUAUACACGUUGCUUAACCAAUAAAUGAAAUGGAUGAAAAAUGUUACUCCUUUUUUUCUUUAAUGAAGAAAAAUGUUACAAUUUAUAAAUGGAUAAAGUCACACACACCAAAUACCAAGUCACAUAAGUUAGGGGCAAAAAGGCAGACAUUUCAACUGGCAUGGAGGUCCCGAUGUUACACUUAUGUUUAUUUAUUAAUAUUAUACUCUAGACUCAUAAAAUAUAUAUAUAUAUAUAUGUGACAGAAAUGAUGUUCUAAAUUACUCCAGCUACAGAUAGGCAGGUUGGAAUUCGAGUUCAAAUUAAAGUUUCUCCACCCAUAUUAAUAGCAUAUCAAGACAUUGUACACCCAAAACCUUUUCAUAAUUUACAAGAAAAUCACACCCCUCCCCCAAUCUAUUUGGAUAUGAAGGCUAUCGCUGUCGAGUUUGAUAUCCAUGCUGUGUUAUCCAUAUGACAUCUAUCUACAAUGGGGGUCACUGUGAAAAAAAUAGCAACAGUCACUAUUAUUUGGUGAUUAAAAUUUAGUCACCCCUAAUUAGUCACUAAAUAUCACCUGGUAAUUGUUACUCUUUUUUUUUUUCUUUUUGUAGCGGGUGAUUGUCCAAUAGUCAUAGGCCAAAUCUCACAUAUAAUUGUUCCCAAUAGUCUUCGGUUUGAUUCUUAUAAGGACAAACCAUGUGGCCUUCGUGUUUGUAUAUAUGCCUUUGGUCUGAGGAUUCUAUUUCCAACAUGAAUUUAGGGAUUUUAAUUCUUAUUGUUAAAAAAUGCUUCACCACGUUGGCCGGCGGAAAAGUUGAAUUAUAGAAAGAAUAAAAACACAAACGGAAAAGUUGAAUUAUUCCUUUCGAUCACUGUCCAUAACAACACUGGCAGAUGAAGUAUUUUUACUAUUAUCGCUUGCAAAAUUCCAUGCUUUAUUUGCACGCACAAAUCUGGUCCAUAUACAAACUAGAAAAUGAUCAAGUACAACAUGCAACACUUAGAACAAGAGAACAUAACUCAAAAACAAGAAGAACAAGAAUUUGUUAGAUAUUCAUCCAUGGAAAUCAAGUAUUAUUUUUAAGGAGAGUGAUCGGCUCAAUUCCAAACUAUAUAUCAACAAAUUAUUAGCUAAAAUAUCGACAAUGUACCAUAUACUAGUAUUGCAUACAUGUUAGUACUCGAUACCAACAAAUUAUUUUCCAAAAUUAAGACCCCUGAGGUAUGUGACUUGAAGAAUAUUAGUUAGAAUACUUUUUUAUGGUCCAACAUAUGCCCAGGGGACCAGGCAGAGUCCUAUAUAAAUGGGAUUGAAUUCAUAGUGCAAGUCAUUCAAGCCCUAGUUAAUUCCUUAUCCUUGUUAGUUUUGCAGUUAAUAAAUUAGAAGAAGAUGGUUUUCGAUACAAAUUAUAAGGUCCCGAACAACGUUCCCUACACCGAGCAGCAGAUAAUGAAUGUCUUCAAAAGUCAUGACAAGAAUGGAGAUGCUCAACUUUCCAAAGAGGAGCUGAAAGAAGCCUUCAAAGAACUUGGCUCGAAAUGUCCUCCUUUAAGAGCUUGGUUUGCUAAAAAUUAUGCAGAUGACAACCGCGAUGGCUUCAUUUCUAUAGACAAGGAGCUCAGCAAGCUCGUCAAGUAUGUCCUAAAAUUGAACUAUACACUUCAUUAAUUAUAGUAUUAGUGGGUAACUAGUUCUCAGCAAGCUCGUUGACUAUGCUGUCAACUGAAGCUCUAUAUAUGUGUGUGGAUAUAUAAACAUAGUGGCGGAGCUAGACUUGGCAUCUUGGGGGGUUGCAAUCACUUCAAGCUUAUAUAUGACUCCGUUCGUGUGUAAGCAUAUGUAAUUACUUGUAAUUCGUAUUACCUAUGUUACUAUGUAUGUGUGCAGGGUAGAGGAAACGAAGGAGAUGACCUUUCGGUACCUCUCGUUUCCGGGAAAGAUGAAUUUGAACCCUGAUUAUGUAUAAUAUAUAGUGAUUAACAAAAAUAAAGUAACAAACUUUGUGU